UGGGGAAUAUUGCACAAUGGGCGAAAGCCUGAUGCAGCGACGCCGCGUGGGGGAUGACGGCCUUCGGGUUGUAAACCUCUUUUACCACCAACGCAGGCUCCACGUUCUCGUGGGGUUGACGGUAGGUGGGGAAUAAGGACCGGCUAACUACGUGCCAGCAGCCGCGGUAAUACGUAGGGUCCGAGCGUUGUCCGGAAUUAUUGGGCGUAAAGAGCUCGUAGGCGGCGUGUCACGUCUGCUGUGAAAGACCGGGGCUUAACUCCGGUUCUGCAGUGGAUACGGGCAUGCUAGAGGUAGGUAGGGGAGACUGGAAUUCCUGGUGUAGCGGUGAAAUGCGCAGAUAUCAGGAGGAACACCGGUGGCGAAGGCGGGUCUCUGGGCCUUACCUGACGCUGAGGAGCGAAAGCAUGGGGAGCGAACAGG
RNAcentral lists this ribosomal RNA (423 nucleotides) under uncultured bacterium. RNAcentral's name for it is "bacterial SSU rRNA". It matches the Rfam family "Bacterial small subunit ribosomal RNA", at positions 355 to 776 of the family's 1533-position model. The record is from RNAcentral.